GCCGGCGUGGCGGAAUUGGCAGACGCGCUAGACUCAAAAUCUGGUUCUCGCAAGGGAGUGUGGGUUCGAGCCCCUCCGCCGGUACCA
RNAcentral lists this transfer RNA (87 nucleotides) under bacterium. Its description in RNAcentral is "tRNA-Leu". It matches the Rfam family "tRNA". Rfam says of the family: Transfer RNA (tRNA) molecules are approximately 80 nucleotides in length. Their secondary structure includes four short double-helical elements and three loops (D, anti-codon, and T loops). The record is from RNAcentral. RNAcentral also lists the same sequence under 5 other names.